This is a long non-coding RNA of Olea europaea var. sylvestris, 1117 nucleotides long. RefSeq lists it as uncharacterized. The transcript is spliced from 3 exons. Lineage: Eukaryota; Viridiplantae; Streptophyta; Magnoliopsida; Lamiales; Oleaceae. The record is from RefSeq and is a predicted model, not a curated record.
CUUUGCUACUUCUCUUAUUUUCUUUUCUCUUCAGCCUUUUCAUAAGCUCCGACAAGUCUAGGGUAUAUUCUUGGAGAAACCAGAAAGAAGACUCGGUCCCUCCCAUUUCUAGUUCUCCGUCUAGUUGCCAGGAAAUCUUAACCCCUAUUCCUAUUUCAAUAGUUAACCCAGUAGAUCUAGAGCGCCUUGUGAUUAUGGAAUCAGAUCGUGAUGGUUCGAGAGGAGAGGAGGUCGGCUCCUACGCGGGUAGUGAGAGGAAUAACCCUGAGGAGUGGGAGGCAAACUCAUAUAAGUCGAUUGUAACAGGUGAUUUGUUAGCGAGCUGGCAAGCUAGGUAUGACAUUUCGAGCUUGAUAAUAAUGAUAAUCCCUAAACCUUCUGACCCCGCACUAACGCUUCCCCAAGGAGAUGUGUUCUCUGAAUUCGACCAUUUUACAUACCGAGCUUAGACUGCCCAUUUCUAGAGUCAUUCAUAAGUUCCUAUCCUUUUGGGGUAUAGCUUCCACUUAGCUAUGCCCCAACAGGUGGUAAACUUUAAUCAUCCCCUUAAUCUUGUGGAAUAGGUUAGGAAAUCCCGAGCUGAGUGCAACGCAGUUUAAUUCCCUUUUCACAUUCAAGAAGGAUGGAAUCGGUUGUUGGCAUACCAGUGUUAGGCCGAGGAUGGGUGAUUCCUUAGUGCUGGACACUCCCUCCUCCAUCAAGAAGUGGAAGGAGAAAUUCUUUUACGUGUCAGGAGAGUGGUAGUUUCACCUGUCGAAGUGAAUAGGGAGGAUGGUCCCCAUACUCUACCAUUCUUUAUAUUACAGGAAGGCGACUUUGAAAAAGGACACUCAGAGAUGAGCUGAGGAGAUAAGGGCCUUGCUGAAGAGACAGAGUUCCUGUAAGUACGUGAUCUCGAAUUCCAACCUCUUCCGAGUGUGUUUAAUCCAAACAAGAGUCCUAAGUCCGUCCAUGGUUGGAACAUUGACUUCCAUCCCAGCUAGUUCAACUCAUAAUCCAGAAAUGCUGGGAUAUAAGCCAACUAAGGUAGCAACUGCUUCUGCUAAAGGGAACAAGAGAGAGGUUCCAUCGGUGGUGAGCUUAGCUUCAGAGAAGACAGGGAAGGACGUCCAACCUC